This 497-nucleotide ribosomal RNA is filed under the name uncultured bacterium. RNAcentral describes it as "partial 16S ribosomal RNA". It matches the Rfam family "Bacterial small subunit ribosomal RNA", at positions 28 to 507 of the family's 1533-position model. The record is from RNAcentral.
GAUGAACGCUGGCGGCGUGCCUAAUACAUGCAAGUCGAGCGAACGGACGAGAAGCUUGCUUCUCUGAUGUUAGCGGCGGACGGGUGAGUAACACGUGGAUAACCUACCUAUAAGACUGGGAUAACUUCGGGAAACCGGAGCUAAUACCGGAUAAUAUUUUGAACCGCAUGGUUCAAAAGUGAAAGACGGUCUUGCUGUCACUUAUAGAUGGAUCCGCGCUGCAUUAGCUAGUUGGUAAGGUAACGGCUUACCAAGGCAACGAUGCAUAGCCGACCUGAGAGGUUGAUCGGCCACACUGGAACUGAGACACGGUCCAGACUCCUACGGGAGGCAGCAGUAGGGAAUCUUCCGCAAUGGGCGAAAGCCUGACGGAGCAACGCCGCGUGAGUGAUGAAGGUCUUCGGAUCGUAAAACUCUGUUAUUAGGGAAGAACAUAUGUGUAAGUAAUUGUGCACAUCUUGACGGUACCUAAUCAGAAAGCCACGGCUAACUACGUG